GAAUCUAGCUCUAGGUCGGGGACAACAGUUGGAAACGACUGCUAAUACCGGAUGUGCCGAAAGGUGAAAGAUUAAUUGCCUAGAGAUGAGCUCGCGUCUGAUUAGCUAGUUGGUGGGGUAAGAGCCUACCAAGGCGACGAUCAGUAGCUGGUCUGAGAGGAUGAUCAGCCACACUGGGACUGAGACACGGCCCAGACUCCUACGGGAGGCAGCAGUGGGGAAUUUUCCGCAAUGGGCGAAAGCCUGACGGAGCAAUACCGCGUGAGGGAGGAAGGCUCUUGGGUCGUAAACCUCUUUUCUCAGGGAAGAAGAAAGUGACGGUACCUGAGGAAUCAGCAUCGGCUAACUCCGUGCCAGCAGCCGCGGUAAUACGGAGGAUGCAAGCGUUAUCCGGAAUGAUUGGGCGUAAAGCGUCCGCAGGUGGCUGUGUAAGUCUGCUGUUAAAGAAUGAGGCUCAACCUCAUCAAAGCAGUGGAAACUACACGGCUAGAGUGCGUUCGGGGCAGAGGGAAUUCCUGGUGUAGCGGUGAAAUGCGUAGAGAUCAGGAAGAACACCGGUGGCGAAAGCGCUCUGCUAGGCCGCAACUGACACUGAGGGACGAAAGCUAGGGGAGCG
This 616-nucleotide ribosomal RNA is filed under the name Calothrix sp. 13-SKD-2014. Its description in RNAcentral is "bacterial SSU rRNA". It matches the Rfam family "Bacterial small subunit ribosomal RNA", at positions 122 to 770 of the family's 1533-position model. The record is from RNAcentral. Lineage: Bacteria; Bacillati; Cyanobacteriota; Cyanophyceae; Nostocales; Calotrichaceae.